UGCGGAGGGUGCUAGCGUUGUUCGGAAUUACUGGGCGUAAAGCGCGCGUAGGCGGACCUGCAAGUCGGGGGUGAAAGCCCGAGGCUCAACCUCGGAACUGUCUUCGAUACUGCGGGUCUCGAGUCCGGGAGAGGUGAGUUGAAUUCCUAGUGUAGAGGUGAAAUUCGUAGAUAUUAGGAAGAACACCAGUGGCGAAGGCGGCUCACUGGCCCGGUACUGACGCUGAGGCGCGAAAUCGUGGGGAGCAAAGAGG
Molecule: ribosomal RNA, 253 nt
Filed under: uncultured bacterium
Lineage: Bacteria
Description: partial 16S ribosomal RNA
Rfam family: Bacterial small subunit ribosomal RNA
Source: RNAcentral